GACGAACGCUGGCGGCGUGCUUAACACAUGCAAGUCGAGCGGUAAGGCCCUUUCGGGGGUACACGAGCGGCGAACGGGUGAGUAACACGUGGGUGACCUGCCCUCAGCUCUGGGAUAAGCCUGGGAAACCGGGUCUAAUACUGGAUAUGACUCCAUGACGCAUGUUGUGGGGUGGAAAGCCUUGUGCGGCUGAGGAUGGGCCCGCGGCCUAUCAGCUUGUUGGUGGGGUGAGGCCUACCAAGGCGACGACGGGUAGCCGGCCUGAGAGGGCGACCGGCCACACUGGGACUGAGACACGGCCCAGACUCCUACGGAAGGCAGCAGUGGGGAAUCUUGCGCAAUGGGCGAAAGCCUGACGCAGCGACGCCGCGUGAGGGAUGACGGCCU
RNAcentral lists this ribosomal RNA (387 nucleotides) under uncultured bacterium. Its description in RNAcentral is "bacterial SSU rRNA". It matches the Rfam family "Bacterial small subunit ribosomal RNA", at positions 28 to 417 of the family's 1533-position model. The record is from RNAcentral.